RNAcentral lists this long non-coding RNA (614 nucleotides) under Papio anubis (olive baboon). RNAcentral describes it as "lncRNA (ENSPANG00000050111.1)". Lineage: Eukaryota; Metazoa; Chordata; Mammalia; Primates; Cercopithecidae. The record is from RNAcentral.
GAGAUAAAAAUCAGGAGUGGUUGUGUGCGGUGGCUCACACCAGUAAUCCCAGUGCUUGGGAGACUGCUUGAGCCCGGGAGAUGAGUUACAAUGAACUAUGAUGGUACCACUGCACUCCAGCCUGGGCGACAGAGACGGACUUUGUCUAAAAACAAAAAUAGAAAAAGUCAGGAGACUAGGACAAAUGUACAGCUAUGUGUCUUCACAGCAUUAUAGUUAGACGGAAUCUCGCUGCGACGCCCAGGCUAGAGUGCAAUGGUGCGAUCUCAGCUUACUGCAAUCUCUGCCUCCCGGGUUCAAGCGAUUCUCUUGCCUCAGCCUUCCAAGUAGCUGGGACUACAGGCGUGCACCACCAAGACUGGGAGUGGAAGAGGAAAAUCCAGACUGUGAAAGUACAAUUAAAGCCUCUGGUUGUAUCACAUCUAGUAUUAUACUCGGGGCACAGCAAAUCGCCUGGCCAAGUUUUCAGCCAAAAGAUGAGAAAAUACACUCUUCCUACUGAGAAUCCACAGCAAGGAUGGAGAAUCUCCCCUUGGUGCAGAAUUGUUGUGAACCAAAACUUUGUGAAGAAUUUUGGGAUAGUUGUAAUUAACAGAACUGAGUUUGAUCACUAA